CCUACGGGAGGCAGCAGUGGGGAAUAUUGCACAAUGGGGGAAACCCUGAUGCAGCGACGCCGCGUGAGUGAAGAAGUAAUUCGUGAUGUAAAGCUCUAUCAGCAGGGAAGAAAAUGACGGUACCUGAGUAAGAAGCCCCGGCUAACUACGUGCCAGCAGCCGCGGUAAUACGUAGGGGGCAAGCGUUAUCCGGAUUUACUGGGUGUAAAGGGAGCGUAGACGGCAGUGCAAGUCUGGAGUGAAAGGCGGGGGCUCAACCCCCGGACUGCUCUGGAAACUGUACGGCUGGAGUGCAGGAGAGGUAAGUGGAAUUCCUAGUGUAGCGGUGAGAUGCGUAGAUAUUAGGAGGAACACCAGUGGCGAAGGCGGCUUACUGGACUGUAACUGACGUUGAGGCUCGAAAGCGUGGGGAGCAAACAGGAUUAGAUACCCCUGUAGUC
Molecule: ribosomal RNA, 440 nt
Filed under: uncultured bacterium
Lineage: Bacteria
Description: partial 16S ribosomal RNA
Rfam family: Bacterial small subunit ribosomal RNA
Source: RNAcentral